RNAcentral lists this ribosomal RNA (402 nucleotides) under Streptococcus gordonii. Its description in RNAcentral is "bacterial SSU rRNA". It matches the Rfam family "Bacterial small subunit ribosomal RNA", at positions 84 to 473 of the family's 1533-position model. Lineage: Bacteria; Bacillati; Bacillota; Bacilli; Lactobacillales; Streptococcaceae. The record is from RNAcentral.
AUAGACUGUGAGUUGCGAACGGGUGAGUAACGCGUAGGUAACCUGCCUGGUAGCGGGGGAUAACUAUUGGAAACGAUAGCUAAUACCGCAUAAUAUUAAUUAUUGCAUGAUAAUUAAUUGAAAGGUGCAAUUGCACCACUACCAGAUGGACCUGCGUUGUAUUAGCUAGUAGGUGAGGUAACGGCUCACCUAGGCGACGAUACAUAGCCGACCUGAGAGGGUGAUCGGCCACACUGGGACUGAGACACGGCCCAGACUCCUACGGGAGGCAGCAGUAGGGAAUCUUCGGCAAUGGACGAAAGUCUGACCGAGCAACGCCGCGUGAGUGAAGAAGGUUUUCGGAUCGUAAAGCUCUGUUGUAAGAGAAGAACGGGUGUGAGAGUGGAAAGUUCACACUGUGAC